ACAAUGGAGAGUUUGAUCCUGGCUCAGGAUGAACGCUAGCUACAGGCUUAACACAUGCAAGUCGAGGGGAAACGAUAUUGGAAGCUUGCUUCCGAUAGGCGUCGACCGGCGCACGGGUGAGUAACGCGUAUCCAACCUGCCCACCACUUGGGGAUAACCUUGCGAAAGUAAGACUAAUACCCAAUGAUAUCUCUAGAAGGCAUCUGAAAGAGAUUAAAGAUUUAUCGGUGAUGGAUGGGGAUGCGUCUGAUUAGCUUGUUGGCGGGGUAACGGCCCACCAAGGCAACGAUCAGUAGGGGUUCUGAGAGGAAGGUCCCCCACAUUGGA
Molecule: ribosomal RNA, 327 nt
Filed under: Segatella copri
Lineage: Bacteria; Pseudomonadati; Bacteroidota; Bacteroidia; Bacteroidales; Prevotellaceae
Description: bacterial SSU rRNA
Rfam family: Bacterial small subunit ribosomal RNA
Source: RNAcentral